RNAcentral lists this unclassified non-coding RNA (364 nucleotides) under soil metagenome. Its description in RNAcentral is "partial contains 5.8S ribosomal RNA, internal transcribed spacer 2, and large subunit ribosomal RNA". The stretch from base 1 to 120 matches the Rfam family "5.8S ribosomal RNA", at positions 35 to 154 of the family's 154-position model. The record is from RNAcentral.
GAUGAAGAACGCAGCGAAGUGCGAUAAGUAAUGUGAAUUGCAGAAUUCCGUGAAUCAUCGAAUUUUUGAACGCAAAUUGCACUUUCUGGUAUUCCGGAGAGUAUGCCUGUUUGAGGGUCAGUAAAAUAAAAAUCGAUGUUGUUGUCACCGUAAUAACGCGUCGGAAUUGAGUCGUCUUACCUUCGGUUAAGUGACUUAAAAUUUUUACGCGAAUUCGAAACGUAUUUAAUGUUUAUGUACGUUUGCGAUAUUCCAAUAUAUUAGGUGCGGUCAUUCCUAUGAUUCGCGUCUAUAAUUUUUCAUUUCUUGACCUCAAAUCAGGUAAGAGUACCCGCUGAACUUAAGCAUAUCAAUAAGCGGAGGA